This 356-nucleotide ribosomal RNA is filed under the name Gomphus graslinellus. RNAcentral describes it as "partial 12S ribosomal RNA". Lineage: Eukaryota; Metazoa; Arthropoda; Insecta; Odonata; Gomphidae. The record is from RNAcentral.
UGUAAAUGUAAAAUUUUUAAACCAGGGUAGUAAUAGUUAAGUUCUUGAAACCCAAAGAAUUUGGCGGUAUUUUAGUCCUUUCAGAGGAAUCUGUCCCAUAAUCGACAGUCCACGAGAGAAUUUACUUAUUCUUGUAUUUCAGUUUGUAUACCUCCGUCAUAAGAAGAUCUUUUUAGAGAUGGAAUUUUCUUGAUAUAUAAAUUAUAAGAUGUCAGGUCAAGGUGCAAUUUAUGAAUAAGAGGAGAUGGAUUACAAUAAAUUUAUUUACACGGAUUAAAUUAUUUGAUUUUUUUAUGAAGGUGGAUUUGAUAGUAAUUUUGAUUAUUUGUUAUCAUGAUUUUGGCUCUAAAAUAUGC